RNAcentral lists this ribosomal RNA (465 nucleotides) under uncultured Klebsiella sp. RNAcentral describes it as "bacterial SSU rRNA". It matches the Rfam family "Bacterial small subunit ribosomal RNA", at positions 338 to 795 of the family's 1533-position model. Lineage: Bacteria; Pseudomonadati; Pseudomonadota; Gammaproteobacteria; Enterobacterales; Enterobacteriaceae. The record is from RNAcentral.
CCUACGGGUGGCUGCAGUGGGGAAUAUUGCACAAUGGGCGCAAGCCUGAUGCAGCCAUGCCGCGUGUGUGAAGAAGGCCUUCGGGUUGUAAAGCACUUUCAGCGGGGAGGAAGGCGGUGAGGUUAAUAACCUCAUCGAUUGACGUUACCCGCAGAAGAAGCACCGGCUAACUCCGUGCCAGCAGCCGCGGUAAUACGGAGGGUGCAAGCGUUAAUCGGAAUUACUGGGCGUAAAGCGCACGCAGGCGGACUGUCAAGUCGGAUGUGAAAUCCCCGGGCUCAACCUGGGAACUGCAUUCGAAACUGGCAGGCUAGAGUCUUGUAGAGGGGGGUAGAAUUCCAGGUGUAGCGGUGAAAUGCGUAGAGAUCUGGAGGAAUACCGGUGGCGAAGGCGGCCCCCUGGACAAAGACUGACGCUCAGGUGCGAAAGCGUGGGGAGCAAACAGGAUUAGAUACCCUUGUAGUC